UGCGCGGCCGCCGCCGUCUGGCUGGGAUCAGAGGAGCCAGGCCAACUGCUUCUCAUUAAGUCCCAACUGUGGUUUUUAUCAGGAGAGCCUCUUUCAAAGGGCACAGACACGAAGCUCCGCGGACUCGCUCAUUUCCUCCACUGACCCCCACACACCUCCCUGCCCUCCCUUCCACGUUCUCACCGCCCCGACUGGGCGAAGGCCGGAGCUGCCUGGCCACUCCGCAGAGGCCCGCGAGGCGCCAGCGGGGCGGAGGCGAGUUGGGAGGCGAUCUCGAAGGAUUCAGCUCCGGGCCUAAGCUUCAGGAUGUGGCAGCAAAGAUGAGGCGGGCGCGGGCACCGACACUUCCACAGGUCAGCCGGUGCAGUGGCAGCCGCGGGGUUGGGUUCAGGCCCGCUCAGGCGCGCUCUUUGGAGACCGCACGGUCCAACUGGCGUUAGCGUCCAGGGCACCAGCCCAGGAGCAGCCGGAGGCGCCCAGGGCUUAGGCCCGCUCCCGACGGCCCCGCAGUGAUCAUCCAGUGCGAGGAAGCCAAGACUGCUAGAAGGGCGGCCAUCGCCGUGCAUACGACGGAGAGGCCAGGAGGACCUACUCUGUGACAGGCAUUUGCUGGCAGUGGGAUACAGCAGACAGCAAGACAGACGUGACCCCUGCCACAUGUCAACUUUGCUGGAAUGGAAAUGUCUCCUCCACAAUGAAAAAAAAAAUCAUCAUUUGGAUGUGAAUAAGAAUGGAAUCUGGUCUCCAGAGCAGAACUCCUGGCCUCUAGCCUCAACUUUAAGGUUGGUUCUUGAACUGAACAUUGGUCCCAACUUCAGCUUUCCUUGUCUUUUUGACUGCCCUCAGCCUAUGCCACACGAAGGGGAACGUGCCCCUUUAUCUCCCAGGGGAUGUCCAGGAGCAGUCAGAACAACGGGAAAGAUGGAACCUCAGAUCUGACAUUUCUUUGAAUUACAAAACUUCCUUCCAGACAGGAAAAACUCAGUUGCUUUUUCUUUUUUUUCUUUGAAGGCAAGACAGUCAAUAUUACUCUUGUCCUGUUUAGACUUUGAAAUCCUAAAUUGAUCCCUAUGAAAAUUCUGGGAUGGGGAGCCCACGUAGAUUGUUUCUCAUUAGUGACAUUCUUCCUGGAAGGUCAGACUAAGGAAUGGUAAAUAAACCUUUAGAUCCGGUACUUCCCCCUCACCCAUGAUAUUUAAAAGAAAGAAAAGAAGGGGGGUGGGGGAAGCAGCAGCUUUGUGCUGUGGAUACCCAGGAUCCUUGGCUGUCAUUCUGACAACCCAGGCUGAAGUCUGUGCUUUGGGAUAAAAUUUCUGGAAAGGGAGGGAGCUACUUUUUUCUCUUCUGUUGAUUUGCUCUCUUUCAAUAGGAGAACCAGUUAACUUGUAUGUACCCGUUUCUUCCCCAGAAGAAGGAGGAGAGUGAGUCUGUAGUUCAGCUUUUCUGGAAUGAAUGAGUUCACAGAGAUGUUUCUUGAGCCUGAACUUGUAUUUCUCUGCUCAUUUUCUCCACCCACCCUCCUCGGGUCGGGCUGGUAUGGGGGCAGGGGCCAGAAAGGCAGAGCUUCAUCUGGGAUGUGGCGGUGCUCUGCAGGCCGGGUUUGCCCUGACAUCUGCCUUACUGCCAUGGUGUUACAAUAAAUGUGUUCUGUGGCAA
Long non-coding RNA from Cervus elaphus (red deer), 1656 nucleotides. RefSeq lists it as uncharacterized. NCBI's taxonomy places the organism in Eukaryota, Metazoa, Chordata, Mammalia, Artiodactyla, Cervidae. The transcript is spliced from 2 exons. The record is from RefSeq and is a predicted model, not a curated record.